Long non-coding RNA from Homo sapiens (human), 875 nucleotides. Ensembl annotates it as CCDC26 long non-coding RNA. Its record names the gene CCDC26. The record is from Ensembl. Lineage: Eukaryota; Metazoa; Chordata; Mammalia; Primates; Hominidae.
AUGCCGAAGCUGAGGUCGGAAAUUACGAAGAUCAGCUAUGUAAGUUAAAGGGUGAGGGGAAAGGGAGCCCAAUGAGAGGGAGAGAGGGAAAAAACAGGGAGCGUGCACGUGCACGUGAGAGAGACAGAGACAGAGAGAGAGAAUAUAUGAGAAAGUGAAGAAGAGAAAAUGGGAGAGGGAGAGAAAACAUACAAUUAUGUAUGUCUGGAGCACACCAUAUUAAAGGAGGGAGUGGCAGAAAACGUGAGGUGGGAAUCAAAUCAUGCUGGGCUUUUUGGCCAGGAAGGCCUGAGGAGAGAAGACACAUAGUCAUGCUGACUAAACCAGAUCACCUAGAAUUACCAAAUGGAAAGCAUCUACUUGUUUCCAAAGUUAUUUGGGUCAGCAUUUUCCUCCACCCACCACUUAAAACUGAUUUGUUUCAUACAUUUGAAAUGUAUGAAAAGCCAGAAAUCCAGGACCCACCCUGGCCUGCUCCCUUUUUCUCACCUACUGUGUUAAGAUUUCAAAACCAAGAUCAAGGCAUGGAAAGUGAGACUAACUACAUCAGGCCAGAAAUGAAAAGCAACUUAGGAGUCAAUUUUAGAAACAUCAUCAGUGGUGUAGAAGAGCUCAGGGAAGCAAGGAGGGCUGCUGUGAAUGACACCAUGAAUUUCUGAAUGUGAUGUCCCUUCAAUUCAUGAGGAAUGAAGCAACGAUAUCUCCUAAAACACCAGGAUUUGCUAAAGAUAAUGAUAGAUUAAUUGUGAACAGCCUGAAGUAUCAAGUAGGUAGGACAAAGCAGCCCCAGUGUGUGUUGUUCCCCUCUAUGCGUCCAUAUGUCUUGUUAAACUACCAAAGACAUUCUUCACAGAACUAGAAAAACUAUUUUAAAA